RNAcentral lists this small nucleolar RNA (150 nucleotides) under Drosophila erecta. Its description in RNAcentral is "snoRNA:GG26065". The record is from RNAcentral. Lineage: Eukaryota; Metazoa; Arthropoda; Insecta; Diptera; Drosophilidae.
GCAUGCUUCUUACCAAGCUUUUAAAGUGUUUCCAAUAUUUGAAACCAGUUUUAAAGGGUUCAUGUACAGUAUGCCAGAGCAAAAGAAUGAUUGGGUGUCCAUAUAACCCACUGCCGUGGUUAAUUUUGGCCAAUAAUCAUUUGGACAGCU